CCUACGGGAGGCAGCAGUAGGGAAUAUUGCUCAAUGGGGGAAACCCUGAAGCAGCAACGUCGCGUGGAGGAUGAAGGUUUUCGGAUUGUAAACUCCUUUUGUUAGAGAAGAUAAUGACGGUAUCUAACGAAUAAGCACCGGCUAACUCCGUGCCAGCAGCCGCGGUAAUACGGAGGGUGCAAGCGUUACUCGGAAUCACUGGGCGGAAAGAGCGCGUAGGCGGGAUAGCAAGUCAGAUGUGAAAUCCUAUGGCUUAACCAUAGAACUGCAUUUGAAACUGUGAUUCUAGAGUAUGGGAGAGGUAGGUGGAAUUCUUGGUGUAGGGGUAAAAUCCGUAGAGAUCAAGAAGAAUACUCAUUGCGAAGGCGACCUGCUAGAACAUAACUGACGCUGAUGCGCGAAAGCGUGGGGAGCAAACAGGAUUAGAUACCCGAGUAGUC
Molecule: ribosomal RNA, 440 nt
Filed under: uncultured bacterium
Lineage: Bacteria
Description: partial 16S ribosomal RNA
Rfam family: Bacterial small subunit ribosomal RNA
Source: RNAcentral